This 1913-nucleotide long non-coding RNA is filed under the name Homo sapiens (human). Its description in RNAcentral is "HSALNT0376383". Lineage: Eukaryota; Metazoa; Chordata; Mammalia; Primates; Hominidae. The record is from RNAcentral.
CAAAGGGGAGAGAAGGUCCUGCUGUCUAUGGGCAAGCCUGAGCACAGAGGCUGCUCUGCUGGUGGGGGUGGGGUCACUUCUCUCAGCCCCAGACUGUCAGCUCUCAGGAUUAUCCACCUCGGCUCCUGGUUGCAGCAACUGCUGUGGCAGUAUGUGGAGCGAGCACCUCUGGCUCCCAACUUCUCCUGACUGAGCUGGCCACUCGCUUCCUUCUCCUCUGUGCCUCAGGCGCUUGCUGAGACUUCUCUGUUGGACUCUAGUGCUCUCUCCUGGAUGUUCUAUUCGAGAGUCUCCCUCUGUAGCCCAGGCUGGAGUGCAGUGGCAUGAUCUCGGUUCACCGCAACCUCCGCUUCUCUGGUUCAAGUGAUUCUCCUGCCUCAGCCUCCUGAGUAGCUGGGACUACAGGCACGCGCCACCACCCCUGGAUAGUUUUUGUAUUUUUAGUAGAGACGGGGUUUCACUGUGAUAGCUAGGAUGGUCUCAAUCUCCUGACAUCGUCAUCCGUCCACUUUGGCCUCCCAAAGUGCUGGGAUUACAGGCGUGAGCCACUGCGCCGGCUGUUUUUGUUUUUUUUUUUUCCUUUACUGUUGAAUUUUGAGAUUUCUUUAUAUAGUCUGGGUAUUAACUUGUCCCUUGUCUUAUAUGUGGUUUGCAAAUACUUUCUACCACUGUGUAGGUUGUCUUUCAUUUUCUUAAUAGAGUCACAGAAGGAGAAAAGAAAAGAGGCUGGGCUGAACAAGUGCUCAAAGAAAUAAUGGCCAAAAACACACACCAAAUUGGCAAGAGACUUAAACCUACAAAUGCAAGAAGCUGGUAUCCAAACAGGUUGGAUCCAAAGAAAUCCACAGCAAGAUACAUUAUAAUUAAAAUUCUGAAAGCUUAAGACAAAUAAAAAAAUAUCGAAAGCAUUCACAGAAAAAUGAUAACUUACUUAUUGGGGUAAGGGGAAGACAAUUAGAAUAACAGCAAAGGUCUCAUCAGAAACCACGGAGGCCAGAAGAAAGCAUCACAAUAUUUUUCAAGGGCUGAAAUAAAAUUACUGUCGACCCCUUAGGAUACUGUCACUCAGUGAAAAUAUUUGUCAAGAGUGAAGGGGAAAUGAAGAUAUUCUGAGAUGAAGGAAAGCUAUUUGUUGCCAACAGAUUUACCCUAAACAGAUUUACCCUAAAAGAAGGGCUAAAGAAAGUUCUCUAAAUAGAAAGAAAAUGAUAAAAGAAGGACCAUGGAACAUCAGGAAGGAAGAAAGAGCAUGGAAGAAAAAAUAUGGGGAAAUAAAAGCCUUUCCUUCUCUUCUUGGUUUUUAAAAUUAUGCUUGAUGGUUGAAGUAAUAAUUAUAACACUUUCAAAUGUGGUUCUAAAUGUAUAUAGAGGAAAUAUUUAAGACAAUUAUAAAUGGGGGAGGGUAAAGGGACAUAAGGGAGGUAAGAUUUUUCUUCAACACCAGUAGAUUGGAUAUGUUAUGUAUAUAUAAUGUAGUACUCAAGCAACCAGUAAAAAAAAAAUCUAUACAAAGAGGUACAUUCCAAAUAUUAUAGAUAAAUUAAAAUGGAAUUCUAAAAAAAGGUGUAACACAUAGUAAAUCAGGAAAAAUAAAACAGAGAAAUAAAGAACAAAGAGAACAAUCAGAAAACAAAAAUAAAAUGGCAGACGUAAGCCCUAACAUAUAAAUAAUUAUGUAAAAUAUAAAUAGUUAAAAUACACCAAUUAAAAGACAGAGAUUAGCAGAAUGAAUUACAAAACAGGACCCAAUCUACUAAGCUUUUUAUUUUGUUUAUUUUUCGGUUCUAAAAUUUCCAUUUGAGGCCGGGCACGGUGGCUCACGCCUGUAAUCCCAGCACUUUGGGAGGCUGAGGCAGGUGGAUCACUUGAGGUCAAGAGUUAGAGACCAGCCUGGUCAACAUGGUGAAACCCUG